Molecule: long non-coding RNA, 539 nt
Filed under: Musa acuminata (dwarf banana)
Lineage: Eukaryota; Viridiplantae; Streptophyta; Magnoliopsida; Zingiberales; Musaceae
Description: long non-coding RNA (MACU_LNC002109)
Source: RNAcentral
GACUCAUUCAUCAAGUAUCAGAUAUCCGGAUUAUAUUUGUAGCACUGACAAAGGUUGAUAUUUUCAUACCUUGUUAAAUGAAUAGUAAGAUGAAUUAAAUGACCUUUGGACAAAGCAGGGUCUGCCGUACCGAGUCGUACCGCCCGGUACGGGCGGUACGUACCGGUCCGAUAGGUUUUCGGUACGCGGACCGACUGUUACCGGUCCGAGGCAUUGUAGCACUGUAGCAGUGCUACAGUACUCGGUACACCCAGGUGUACCGCUCGGUAUACCGUACCGUACCGGUACCGAGCCCAGGUCGAAAUAUCGGUACGGUAUGGUAUUGCAAACCUUGGGACAAAGUAAAAAACUAUUUCUCUUCCAGAUCUCCAGAGAGUCUAGAAACUAUGAAUAGUAAGAAGGGAUCAAUAAAAAUCACUUAGUCACUGAAUACAUCUUAACUAUCAAGCCCAAGAAAAUGAAUAACCGAACCAUAAGUACAACUGGAGAAGAUCCUCUCUAAUUUUGACUCCUUUCCCCAAAUUGCCAACUGUACCACC